GACGAACGCUGGCGGCGUGCUUAACACAUGCAAGUCGAACGGAAAGGCCCUGCUUUUGUGGGGUGCUCGAGUGGCGAACGGGUGAGUAACACGUGAGUAACCUGCCCUUGACUUUGGGAUAACUUCAGGAAACUGGGGCUAAUACCGGAUAGGAGCUCCUGCUGCAUGGUGGGGGUUGGAAAGUUUCGGCGGUUGGGGAUGGACUCGCGGCUUAUCAGCUUGUUGGUGGGGUAGGGGCUUACCAAGGCUUUGACGGGUAGCCGGCCUGAGAGGGUGACCGGCCACAUUGGGACUGAGAUACGGCCCAGACUCCUACGGGAGGCAGCAGUGGGGAAUAUUGCACAAUGGGCGGAAGCCUGAUGCAGCAACGCCGCGUGCGUGAUGACGGCCUUCGGGUUGUAAACCGCUUUCGCCUGUGACGAAGCGUGAGUGACGGUAAUGGGUAAAGAAGCACCGGCUAACUACGUG
This 468-nucleotide ribosomal RNA is filed under the name uncultured bacterium. Its description in RNAcentral is "partial 16S ribosomal RNA". It matches the Rfam family "Bacterial small subunit ribosomal RNA", at positions 28 to 507 of the family's 1533-position model. The record is from RNAcentral.